Ciona intestinalis (vase tunicate) is the source of this 1253-nucleotide non-coding RNA. Lineage: Eukaryota; Metazoa; Chordata; Ascidiacea; Phlebobranchia; Cionidae. The record is from RefSeq and is a predicted model, not a curated record.
UCGUACAACUCGUACCCGCUUACAAAGUACCACACAUAUAACUUUGUAGGUGAAAUUUUUUUUAGUCAUUUCUUUUUCUAAGUGUGGCUAGCAACGCAUCAGAAACUCUAUAUUCGUGACCACUGGGUUAGAGCAAUGGUCUAUAAGUGUUUUUUCCCAAAGCCACACACACCCACAAUGAUAGCAGCAUCGGGAAUCGAGUCCAGUACCCUUUGGUUUCGAAGCAAACGCUCCAACCACUAAUGUACUCAGUAGGUACAGUGUAUCAGAUUUAGCGACACAACAGCGUGGGAUGUUACAUUGAUAAGUUUUUAUCUCGGUUAAGUAAAGUCAGAGGAUUAUCCGCAAAAUGCAUUAACAAAAAUGAAUCAUGCAUCGCUUAUGGUCAGUAAGAAGGGGAUUUUCAAAGAUAGAGCCAUUAUUAACCGCUUACUAAACCGCGUAUCAAGAUGAAUCAUGGUUAAUGGAAAUUGUGGAUCAAAUCCUGCGUCAUAAGAAUAAGCGAUUCCAGGGCCCAUGACGCAGAGUUGAGAUGUGUGGUGUUAUUUUAGACAGUCAGCAUCGUUAGAUUGUAUCAUUGGUAACCAUAUCGGAUUCAGUCAUUAGAAAAAAGAUCGUACGAUUGUAAGGAAAAGGUUUUGGUCAGAGAUGUUGCUCAGUUUGUGACAAUUUAUAAUUGAUUAUUACCACGAAAGUUUGUACAACAGUUUCAAAUUAUCUGUGGUAUUUCAAUUUACACGGGUCGACGUAAAAAACGUUUUGGGGACACGGAACGCCAAAUUAGAUUAAAUGAUCUACUGUGAAACACGACGACGUGUAUAUUUUAUUGACUUAUAAAGCGUUUUGCAUUUUCCCUAUAUACUUCUUGAUUUGAACAUUCCCUGUAUGGGUCAAUAUAUUUCACUUAUUAUAGAGCUUAAAGCUACUUUUGAUAAAAAAAUGUAAUAUUGGUUUUAGAUUAUAUAUAUAUAUAUAUAUUGGGUAUUAUUUUCCUAUUGAAACUUUACCAAAAAUCCCGUGUUUUAUGCGCUAAGCUAUCAUACAGAGUGUUCGGAAAGUUAUUAUGCACCGUUCUAAUAAUUGAGUUGUUUAGAAAUGAAGCAUCUGAUUGGGGUGUUUAAAAACAAAAUAAGAAAGUUCCAAGUCUGUAUUCUUGUUAAAAGGGGUCACAUUCAACAUCAUUUAUAAUUUUCAUUUAUAUUUACCUCCUGGAUUCCAUACUGAAACAUGUCUUAAAAAUAUAUAUACAGUGU